Molecule: long non-coding RNA, 18443 nt
Filed under: Lactuca sativa (garden lettuce)
Lineage: Eukaryota; Viridiplantae; Streptophyta; Magnoliopsida; Asterales; Asteraceae
Description: long non-coding RNA (LSAT_LNC004587)
Source: RNAcentral
AGAAGAAAGAUGGAAGUAUGAGAAUGUGCAUCGAUUACAGAGAGCUGAACAAGGCAACAAUAAAGAAUAGAUAUCCGUUGCCGAGGAUUGAUGACCUGUUUGAUCAAUUGCAAGGUUCGAGCUAUUUCUCGAAGAUCGAUCUUAGGUCAGGAUAUCAUCAGCUGAAAGUAAGAGAGCAAGAUAUCGAGAAGACUGCAUUCAGAACUAGAUAUGGACACUACGAGUUCUUGGUUAUGUCGUUUGGACUAACCAAUGCUCCAGCAGCGUUCAUGGAUUUGAUGAAUAGGGUUUGUAAUCCUUUCCUUGAUAAAUCCGUGAUAGUGUUCAUAGACGACAUUCUGAUCUACUCGAAAAGCCAGGAGGAGCAUGGCAGACACUUGCGAGAAGUGUUAGAAGUUUUGAAGAAGGAGAAGCUUUAUGCGAAGUUCUCCAAAUGUGAUUUUUGGAUUCGUGAAGUCCAAUUCUUGGGUCACGUGGUCAACCAAGAAGGGAUAAUGGUUGAUCCAGCGAAGAUCGAAGCUGUGACGAAGUGGGAACAACCGAAAAGUCCCACGGAGAUUCGAAGCUUUUUAGGAUUAGCCGGAUAUUACCGAAGGUUUAUCCAAGGCUUUUCUUCGAUUGCUACUCCAUUAACAGCUUUGACCCACAAAGGAGCUACUUAUGCUUGGAGUGAGAAGCAUAAAGAAGCAUUCGAGAAGUUAAAGAAGAAGCUAUGCGAGGCACCGAUACUUUCUCUACCCGAUGGAGUUGAAGACUUCGCUGUUUAUAGCGAUGCGUCUGGUGUUGGAUUGGGUUGUGUUUUGACCCAAAGAGAAAAGGUGAUAGCAUAUGCGUCUCGACAGCUGAAAGAGCAUGAAAAGAAUUACCCGACUCAUGAUUUGGAGUUGGCAGCGGUAGUUUUCGCUCUGAAAAUAUGGAGGCAUUACCUCUAUGGCACGAAGUGCAAACUUUUCACUGAUCAUAAGAGUCUCCAAUACCUCUUUAAUCAGAAAGAAUUGAAUAUGAGGCAACGACGCUGGCUAGAAUUACUUAAAGACUACGACUGCGAGAUACUUUACCACCCCGGUAAAGCUAAUGUUGUUGCUGAUGCUCUCAGUCGGAAGGUCAAUCUUGAAAGGAAGAGGCCAAGAGCGUUGAGAAUUGAAGUUGUCUCGACCAUUGUGGAAAGUAUAAAGAAAGCUCAAGAGGAAGCUUCUGAGAAAAAUGACCGAAAGGAGGAACGUUUGGGUAAAACGUUGGUGUUUGGUACUAACGGUCAUGGACUGAAGGUAUUCCAAGAUCGUAUUUGGGUACCUAAGUCAGGAGGAAUUAGGGAUCUUCUGAUGGAAGAAGCUCACAAGACCAUGUACUCGAUUCAUCCGGGUAGCACUAAAAUGUAUAGGGACCUGAAACCCUACUACUGGUGGCCGACGAUGAAGCUUGAUGUUGCAAAGUAUGUGGCCGAGUGUGUGACUUGUGCGAGAGUCAAGACACAACAUCAGAAACCGUACGGGAGUUUAGAACCUUUGCCUGUGCCUAUGGGUAAGUGGGAAGACAUUGCUAUGGAUUUUGUCACUAAACUGCCCAGAACAAAGAAUGGUCACGACAUGAUUUGGGUGGUCGUUGAUCGAUUCACUAAGAGUGCGCAUUUCAUAGCGGCCAGGGAGAAAUGGUCUAUGGAAAAGCUUGCGAAUUCUUACGUGAAGGAAAUUGUGAGGCUUCACGGUGUUCCGUUAACGAUUGUAUCGGAUCGUGAUAGCCGUUUCACCUCAAGGUUUUGGAAAAGUCUACAAGAGGAAAUGGGUACCAAGUUAUGUUUAAGCACAGCUUACCAUCCGCAGACUGAUGGUCAGAGUGAAAGAACAAUACAAACACUUGAAGAUAUGCUGAGAGCAUGUACCUUGGAAUUCCUAGGUAAUUGGGAUGAACAUUUACCGUUGGUAGAAUUUUCCUAUAAUAAUAGUUUUCACUCGAGCAUUAAGAUGGCACCUUAUCAAGCUUUGUAUGGACAGAAGUGUCGUACGCCGUCUUGUUGGCUUGAGGCUGGGGAAAAGCAGUUUAUGGGACCGGAGAUGGUUCAUCAAACUGCUGAAAAGUUGAAAAUAAUUAGGGAAAGAAUGUUAGCAGCUCAAGAUCGUCAAAAGAGCUAUGCUGACAAGAAGCGAAGACCGAUGACUUUUGAGGUUGGAGAUUCGGUUUUGCUUAAAGUCUCGCCGUGGAAGGGACUUAUAAGAUUUGGUAAAAGGGGAAAGUUGAGUCCAAGGUUUAUUGGACCGUUUAGAGUCCUUCAGAGGAUUGGGAAUCAAGCUUACAAGCUCGAAUUACCCGAAGAACUGAAUGGAAUUCACAACACCUUUCAUGUGUGUUAUUUGAGGAAGUUCACGGGAGAAGUUCCCGAUAUAAUUCCAAUUUCUGAAUUGAGAAUUGAUGAGAACAAAAGGUUGAUUGAAGAACCAGAGGCAAUUGUUGACCGAAAGACUAAGAAGUUGCGACGCAAAAUGGUUGGGUUAGUGCUUGUCCGAUGGAAACACACGAAUGGGCCGAAUCUCACCUGGGAGACGGAGAGUGACAUGUUGAGUCGCUAUCCGCAUUUGUUUGUUGAUGUGUGAUUCCGGGGACGGAAUCAUUCUAAGGUGGAGAGAAUUGUAACGCCUGUGUUUCGGGCUUGCCAUUUGUAGCAAUGUAAUAGUCUAGGUUAACCUCUGUAACCCGUUUUGAAAUAAUAAGAUUGUAUUAUUUGAGUAUUAUGUGUUUUGUGCUUAAUUGCUUAAUUAUGUGGUUUGAUUAAUUAAGAAUAAAAAUAAGCGUCAAAAUUUAAGUGUAAAAUAAACUUAAUAUAUUUGGUUAAUGUUGUAGUAGUUGAAACGAGGUUUCCGAAUAUAUAUAGAACGCCCAAAUCUGACUUCGUAUGAGGAAGUUAUGAUUUAUCGAAGUUCCGGCUUAGCGAUAUACAGCCUGUUUUACUCGAUUUGAGAUCGAGCGGUUGUUAGCCGAAGCAAUCUAAAUGAGAAUCGAAGAUCUCAUUGUUGGUAUCGAAACGAUAAAAAGUUAGGCGAGAACGGACGUCAAACGAAGAAGUUAUGAAUUUAUAACGAAAGUUUCUGUCGCGGCCUAUUAAAAAUAAUUAAUAAAAAUAAAGUCAAAAUUAGCCGACGGAGUCUAAACGAAAGUCGUAGAGCGUGGUCUCACCUUCGCGUGGAUAUAAAGAACGUCGAAAACGGAGUUCGUAUGAAGAAGUUAUGAAUUUCCGAAGUUUAUUAAUCAUUUUGUAUUUAUAUUUAAAUCAAAAUUCGGAAGCAUUAUCCGAAGGAGUCACCGAUCUGAUCCGAGGUACGCCCCGCGUACUCGAGUACGCCCCGCGUACUCCGAGGGAUGUCGACACUCGCACUCGAGCACUUCGGAUACGUAAGCAAUGACGUUUUGGGCAGUACGCCCCGCGUAACGCAGUACGCCCCGCGUACUCCGAGGCUCCAGCCUCCUAUAAAUAGGAUGCGAGGGUUCCGGGUAUUUUUGCCAAUUCCCUCUCGUUUUCGUGUCGAAGCUCUGUGCAAAAACCCCCGAAGCUACCCCGAAGCCCCGGUAUCAUACUCUAGCCCCGAGGCAAGUCCCGAGAUCCCGAAGAUCCCGAAAAGUGCGGUUCCCGAGUCGAAGCUCUGCCCGCGAGAAGUUCGAUUUUCGAGAAGAUCUUCCAGAUCUGCUGUGGAUUACUACUUCUAUAAGCCGUAGUGCUGUCCGAUCAUCUUCUGAUCAAGUGAGUGUGUAGUUAUUUCUUCUAAUACAAUAAUACGAAGUAUUUUAUAUAAAAAUACGUGCUAUGUGUAUAUAUUUGGUUGUGUUAUGUGUGAAUGAGUAUUCACUCUCUUCUAUCUUAUAGAUCUGCUUAUUUCUUUAUGAGAUAUGUGUUAUGUGUGUGUGUGCCUCAUCUGUUAUGUGAUAUAUGUGUUGAUUAAAGCAUGCUAUACAGGUUUUCUUUAAACUAUGUAUACAAAUGUAUAUUUUUAUCUACUAAUAUGUUGGGUAGAACAUGGGUAGACAGUUGGUGUGUAAUAAACAGAUGAGAGGCCUCGUUGUUGUUUGAUUGAGUCAUCUAGCGGAGUUUAGAUGACGACCACUGGCUAUUCUAGACAGUCUUGUGGAAACAUUAGCAGGUUCGCCACCUGUAGGUGUUAAUGAACUUGGGUGUUCAUUCGCUGUACUCCAUCCCCCUCAUGGUUGCCUUAUUUGACUUAUAUUGCUGAGGUACCCCCGAAGCAUGUGUUGUCGCCCCGAUGAAAUAUUCUUAGACUAGGUCCCUUAUGUUAGUUGUUUUAGGGACAUUAAAGUGAGAAUAACGGGAAUGGGUAAUUGGGUUAUUGUUGGUUGGUGAAAAUUAAAUAUGAUAUUUAUUGUGGGUUGAAAACCCUAUAUGCUCACCAGGCUCCCAAGCCUGACCCACUCAGUUUUAAAUUGUAUUACAGGUAGUGGCGGAAGGGCAUGAGAUGGAUGAACCAUCAAGUUGUUUUGUUUACAAGUCUGCAUAUGUUUAUAUUUGUUAUAUGACUUGUAAUGUAUUCGUUUAUGCUUAUUGGUCUGUAUCGGAACAUGACACCCCGAGUUUUGAUUAUAAUGAAAAUACAUUUCUUUUAUGAAAUGCUUCGGUAAACAAUGUUUUAUCAUGUUUUGUUUUUGGGAACAAAUUCCGCAACUCUUUCAAAUCAAAAGGAUUUACUCUGAAAAUAUUUAAAAGCAUAAAUCAAAAUCGGUCUUUUCUGGCCGAGAUUUUGGGGAUGUCAUACGGUCCCUGCCUUAUAUUCAACCCAAGAAAAAGUUUAAUUGGACCCAUUGCGCUCAUUUCAAAUUUAGUCUCCAUCAGCUUCCUGAAUUCAGCUGUUAAGCUGGGAUUCGUGGAGCUGAAGAUGAUACCAUCGACAUAAAUUUGAACUAUCACUAGAUGUUCGCCUUCUUUCGUGCGAAAGAAGGUUGGGUCAACCGAACCUUGCUUGAAUUUAGAAAGCGAGUUAAUGUUUCAUACCAGGCCCUUAGUGCUUGUUUCAGUCCAUACACAUAUUUAUCUAACACAUAGCAAUGAUCAGGGUAUUUCUCAUUUAGUAACCCAGGUGGUUGCUCAACAUACACCGUUUCUUCUAGUUCUCCAUUCAGGAAGGCACAUUUCACAUCCAUUUGAAAAACUUCGAAGUUUUUAUGAGCAGCAUAUGCUAGAAAGAUUCGAACUGAUUCCAAUCUAGCUACAGGAGCGAAGAUCUCCUCAUAGUCUAUUCCUUCUUCUUGGCAAUAUCCCUUUACCACCAGCCGGGCCUUAUUCCUAAUAACAUUGCCUUCUUUAUCCAUCUUGUUCCUGAAGACCCACUUCAAUCCAACCAUAGAAGCAUCCUUUGGUGUGGGUAUUAGUCUCCAAACUCGAUUGUGUUAAAACUCAUGAAGUUAAUCUUGCAUUGCAUGUACCCAAUCAGCAUGAUCAAGUGCAGUGUUGAUUGUCUUUGGUUUGAUUUUAGAGACAAAAGAAUUAAACAUGCAUAAUUCAACUUGAGAGAAUAAUGCAGUUUGCUUCGCUUUCAACUGAGACCGUGUGAGAAUCCGUUCGGAUGAUUCACCAAUUAUCUGUGUUUUAGGAUGAUGCUUAGUCCAUUUUGUGAAAGGAUGGUAGUUCGGGUCAUAAACAAGAUCCAACUCUACAUUAAUCUCUUCUUCAAAUUCUGAUUGAUCGUCUUCAUCAUUUGUAUUUGCAUUCUCCCCCUCAAAUGGCGAAGUGUGUUCCUUGUCAGGUUCAUGAUCCUCCCCCUCAGUUGGAGUUGGAUUUUCUUGUUCGGUUGGAUUUGGAUUCUCUCCUUUGGUUAUAUGAGACACGGAUGAGCCCUCCUCCUCGAAUAUUGUUCUGUUAUUUGGAGGUUCUUUUGAGGGUCGAUCAUCAGCUUGUUUUGAAGGAUCCGUUGCCAUGUCUUUCGCAUCAUCUUCGAUGAUCCUUUUCAGAUGGUCGAUUUUGUUGUCUGAUGCAUUCGUCUCUAAGUGUAUAGUUUUUUAUGGAUCAUCAAAUAACCUCAUAUAUUCAAACAAAUUUGAAAUAGGAUCUGAUAGUUGUCAUGAUUCAGGAAAUAUUUCACCCAUGGAACUUUCUUUUGUUUGAGCUUUCUUUAUGUAGCAGUCAUCAAAGGUUACAUAAUAGGUUUCUUCAAUACAUUUGGGGUGUUUAUUCAAAACCCUAUAAGCCUUUGAAGUGAGUGAAUAGCCUAGAAAGAUUCCCUCAUCUUCUUUAACAUCGAACUUGUUUCGGUUCUCUUUAGAGUUGAAAAUGAAGCACCUGGAACCAAACACGUGAAAGAACUUGACAUUGGCUUUUCGGUUGUUCAGAAUGUCAUACAGAGUGAUUGAGAAUCGCUUGUUAAGUAAGGAUCUGUUUUGAGUAUAACAAGCGGUAGCAAAAGCAUCAGCCCAGAAGUACAAUGGGAGAAAAGCGAAGCUCAACAUGGUUCUGGCUGCUUCACAUAAGGAACGGUUACGUCUUUCAACAAUUAAUUCCAUUCUGUUGUGGAGUGUAGAGAGCAGAGAAGUUAUGGGAUACUCCCUUGUCGGCCAGAAAGUCUUCAAACUCUUUAUUCUUGAAUUCAAUCCCAUUGUCACUUCUGAUGUUCCUUACCACUUUUCAUACCUGCCGUUCAACUUGCUUGAUGAACAUCUUUAACUUGGGAGUCGCUUCUGAUUUCUGUUUAAGAAAGAAUACCCAGGUGAAACGUGAAAAAUCAUCUACUAUAACAAGAAUGAACUUACUGCCAUCGAUGCUUUCAAUAGCUGAAGGUCCACAUAAGUCAAUAUGUAGAAGUUCAAGUGCUUCAAUGAUCUUGGUAUUGAUACGUGAUCGAUGGCUCUUUCUGCUUUGUUUACCCAUCUCACAUGCUGCACGUAGGUGUUCCUUAUCAAACUUGAGAAUCAGAAGUCCUCGAACAUGAUCACCAAGCACCAACUUAUUGAUAUCUUUAAAGCUUAGGUGCGAGAGAUGUCGGUGCCAUAGCCAGAUUUCAUCCGAAUUCGCCUAAGACAGCAGGAAAAUAGCUGGUUUUCUUUUAAUUGGACUGAGGUUUAGGUUGUACAUCUUUCCUUUUCAUUCAGAUUUUAACAAGACUCUUUUGGAUUGCUUUUCGAAAAUUUCUGAUCUUUCAUCAUCGAAUGAGACUUUCAGUCCCAUAUCCACAACCAAUUGAGAUACACUAGAGAUUGUGUUGCAAUCCUUCCACGUACGCCACUUUUUGAAUUGUGAACUCUCUGUUGGUUAUCAUUAUAUAUCCUUUGAUUGUUCCAUAAGAGUUCUUGCCAUAUUUCACGCAUCCACCAUCCUUAAGGGACCGAAACUCCCUUAGCUCUUCCUUUCUCCCUGUCAUGUGACGUGAGUAGCCACUAUCUAUGUACCAUUCGUCGUCGAACUGCUCAUCACUUAUAACCUGCAAAUUUAAGCAGAUUUAGGAGCCCAAAGUCUCUUGGGCCCUGGUGACUUUUUCACAGAAAAAGGAAUAGCAAUAGAUAUAUCGACAAGAUAGGUUCUAUUUAUGAGUGUUUUCGUCUUUUCUUUUGAUGGUGUACACUUUUAUUUUAUUUUUAUCUUGUUUAAAUUACAAUGUACUACAUGGUGUUUUGAUAGUUGGAAUCCUCCUUGGAUCCCUAGGGUUAGCUUCCUUUUUAUUAUGAUUGACAUCUGCUUUAGAAUCAAGUUUUCCUUUCCCUUUAACAUCCUCUAUUGAGUUAGGUUUCUGUUGGGAAGAACCGAGACUUGACCUUUGGUUCUCAUUUUUGGUGUUGGAACCGAACCAUGAAGUUCGGUUCUGAACUCUGUUAUUGAAACUGAAACCAGAUGUUCGGUUCUGUCCUUUGGAGUCAGAACAGAGACUGGAUGUUUGCUUUUGAGAUUUGGAAUAGUUAGAACUGGGACUAAAAUUUUUCUUUCUUUUGAUCUAUGGUUUGUCCUUUUCUACAACAUUUCCUUCUUUCUUCGAGGGAACAUGGUUAGGGUUUUGAGAUUGCCAAAACCUUUUUCGCUCAUUCAGAUUCUUCAUGUACCUCUGAUUUCUUUGGCAUUUCUGUUCAGCCAACUCCUUCUGAGAUUUAUGAAUGUUGAUGCUUGAUUUCUGCUUCUCCUUUUGAGCUUCGAUUGAAUUGGAAGAUAUAUUCGAAGUCUUCUUUGAUUCUUCCGUUUUCUUUCCCAGUUCUUCUGGUAUCACUUUGGUUCCACUUGUGCUUGGUUUGUCAAAUCUUGAUGGUUUGUUGAUUGGUUCGGCAACAUAUAUGCUCUUUACCCUCCAUGAGGUUUUCUCAGAUAGACCCACUGUCUUGUCUGCAUUAACGAUAGGAGUAGAACAAAAAUAGUUGUCACACCCUUCAGCAUUGUCUUUGUCAACCAGGAUUUUUAGUUCAGCUGUUUGUUUUCUAGUGACCCCUGUGACAGCGUAAGCCUGAUUUGGCACAAUUUGAACCUUCUGGUAAACCACUACUUUCUCUUUGAGUUUCUUUGACUUAUUAUCCCUUGACAAACAUGCAUAUUCAACGGAAUUUUCGGUUAUUAGGGGUUCUCGUUUUCGAUUUUCAUGAACUCGGAGCAAUCAACUUUGUCUUCCACUGAAAUUUCACUCAUCUCACUCUCCUCAUCAAAUUUAGACGUAUUUUCUACAUUCAUUUUAUGUUCAGUCAUUAAUUUUGAGUUUGAAGAGUCAAAUGAUUGUAGGGUCUCUGUCUUAAUUUUCAGCUUAUCAUUUUCAUCUAAGAGCCUUUUAAGCAUGCAUUUGUGUUAUUUUGAGUCAAUGAAAGACUCAAUUUUGUCCAAAACCGAUUUUAUAAGUGACAGAAGUCUCUUAUGAGGACAUUAUGGAUUCACAUUCAGCAAUGACCUCAUCCUCCUUAAACUCAAGGAAGGGUCAGAUCAUCUUAAGAAUGUUUUUCCCUAUUUCACAAUCUAAAUACAAUUGAGUAAUAUUUGUAUAUAAGCGUUUAGCAACUAAGCAAAAAAAAAAAUCUUUGUUUUAAAAAUUUCAAAUUGUCUCUCUGCAAAUAGAUAAUCUCAUCCCUAGCCCUAAUUAACUCCGUCUCCUUCAGCUCAAUCCACACGUGUCUCUCCUCAAUCUUCGAUGACUCCCUACUGAGUUGGUCAGUUAGGUUAGAGUUCGUUAAGCGAGUUUGCAUGAGACUACUACUGAGAUUAGCGAAUUUAAAUUUAAGUUCAUUUAAUUCUUCUUUGUAAUUUUUGACGGGAACUUUAAGAAAUUCGAGGAUGGAUUGUAGCUUUUUGAUCAACCGAUCGCAGUCGUUAAUCUUUUCACUCAUGGUCUUUGUUGCGAAACAUUUUUCCUCCUUCAAGUUCGGCUCCUUAUGCUCAUCUUCUGUUGGUACACCUGCAGUCACCAUCAAGCACUUCCCAGCCGAACCGUUAACUUCCUCUCUUGCUACAUAUGCUCUGCCAUGGAUAGGCUUCCUCACUUCUUCAUCCUCAGAGUCUGUUGAUCAGACUUCAACGCCUCCAAACUCAUCAUCGACCAUCUUCUCCUGCACAAUCAAGACAUUCAUAGAAUUGUUAGUUAACUUCCUUUUCUUUAGCUCCUCAAAGUUUCGCUCAUGAUAAGCCUCAUCAUCUACACCAUCCCUUUUCUUUGCCAUCUUUCGUAACAUGCAAUCUUUGGCAAAGUGAUUCUUGACGUGACAAUAAUUGCAUUCGUAUCCAAAAUCUCCUACUAGCUGUCUUUCUUUCUUAUCAUCAUCCUUUUGAGAGACGUGCUUCGAUUAUUCUUUCACCAUCUCAGAGCUGUAACUUCCUUGCCAGUUUUGGUUUUUAUUGGUAGGAAAUUUCCUUUGUGCAAACUUCUUAGGAUUGGAGACCAUCGUUGAAUAUUCUUCACCUGUGAGGUCACAAUCAGACAAAUUUGAGUCAUCUUCUUCUUUCGUCGCAUUCUUCCCUUUUGAGAUAAGGGCUAAAGAGCCCAUACCAGACACCAUCUUUGCUUCUUUUGUAACUGUGCUUUCAUGAGAUUUUAAAAUUCCCAUCAGUUUUGCCAGCGAGUAAGACUUGAAUUGUUCAUGAGCCUUUAUAGUUGAGACCACUACCGUCCACUCAGGUCUCAGGCCAUUCAUAAAUGUGACCUUCUGUUGAAUCUCCUUUCUUUCAAUAUCGUGCUUCAUCAUCUUGUUGAUCAGAUGAUUGUAGCGAUCAAAUGUCUGAAGAAGAGUCUCAUCAGGUUUUUGGGCGAAAGCACCGAACUCAGAGAGUAGCAAGGUUUGUAUCGAGUGCUCCAGAUCUUCAUCAGUCGAAUACAAUUGUUUCAUCUUGUCCCAUAUUUCCUUUGUGGUAGUGCAUGAACUCACCAGACGGAAGGUAUUGACUUGUAGGGAAAAUCUGAUCAUCCUCAAGGCUUUAAGAUUGCACUGCUUCUUUUCUUUUUCAUCUUGUGGAAUCUUCUCUACGUCCACUAAAAGCUCAUUGUACUCCUUUUGAGUCUUCACUGUCCUUCUUGUUCGAGCAUGAACAAACGGACCGAUGGUAAUUGCUUCCCAGAUGAGAUACCCAUUGUCUUCAGAUCCAACCAUGUAAUCUUCAAAGUGAUGCGUCCACACUUCAUAGUCUUGAGUGUAAAGAAUGGGAACUCUUGUGGAUGAUCCAAUGCUAUUCGAUAUGUUGAUCGGAUUGCUUUAAGAGUCUUCGUGCGACAUGAUGAUCUUGUGUUCUGGAUCUGCUAGAAUCAGACUUGUAAACUUGAGAUUAGGGUUUUAUCAAACACUAAAGUUAUCGUCGACAGGUAGAAGACGACCUUUAUAUAUUAGAUAAAAGCAGAAACCCUAAUGAAUUCUUCCCACAGAAGGAAUGUGUAUGAGUAACAUAGUCUCCUGCUCUGAUACCAAUUGUUGGAGUAAUAUUCCUUAAUGAUCGAUAGAUUCAUGCAGAAAAGCAAUAAAUGAAACAAUAAGAACACAAGAAUGGAUUGAACGAUAUCGAAUGAUUAAACUUUAACACCCCAGAAGAGCUCGAUGAAGAACUUCGACUGUAGAGGUGCUUAGGGUUACAAUGCAAAAGAUAAUCAAAUUUCUAUCGUAUUUAAGGCAUACAUUCAUGCACUAUAUAAUACUACAUAACCCUAAUCACGGUUGGACAGGCCCAAACCGGAUAUACAAAAUACUAGCCCUUGACGCAACACAUAAUACCAAUGUGAUUAUACCGCAUCCCCUAGAGCUUAUUCCGUAUUGGAUAGAUGUGAUUUUGACUCUGAUGUUUUGAGAAAACUAUUACUUUUACUAUCCUUGGGGCUAAUGAAUGAAUGAAUUGAGUGGUUAAAAAUGAAAUUUUUACUUGGUAUUUUGCGACAUUACAAGUUUGUAUCAUAGCCUUGGUUUCAGGGAUCUAGGUAUACUCUCAGGUGUGUCUGAACUCAAACUGAGGAAUUGGUAAUCUUUUCUUAAGAACAUAAGUUAUCUGAAAGUUUUUUAUAAAGAAAAAAGGAUGUGAUGCAUGCAAUCAACCAAGUUCAAGCAAGUGAACUCCAAAAUACCCAAAAGUAUUGAUAACUUAUACGAUAUGGAAUGUUUUCAUGCGAGGAAUAAGCUAAGGAUACAUUCAUGAAUAAUAUGAUAGAAUGGUAUGAUUUGUGAUGCCUUGUAUCCUAGGAGGAAUGUGAUACAAUGUUAGUUUUGGAAUCUAUAUUGGUGGAAUUGAUUGAUAAGUGUAUGUUUGAAAAUUAUAUACGGUUAGGAUCAUAUAGCCCUAGAAUGAAUGAUUUAGCCUUAUUUCCCGUUCCUCAUAUAGUUUUAGUCUUAGGAUAGAAUCAUUUAUUCAACAAUAUAUUUGAUCUCGUAUUGUCUAUAAUUUGCAUGCAUAAGGAAACCGACAAUAUGAGUGGAGGUUCCUGUAAUUGUAGUAACAAGUGACUUUGGGAUGUUCUUCGAUUGUUUUGUAGCUUUUUAGUGUUACUGCAUAGAUGUUGCUAGAUUUGUUCUUUGUGUGACUCCUAUUGAUGUGAGCUAACUAUUAAUUGAAUAUGUCGAGUUACAUGUUGAGAAGAUUAAAUAAUUUUAGAAUGAUUGAUUUUCCUUAUUGUAUAUCUCUCAUUUGAGUCUGACCGUUGUAGGGUUGGGUAUUCUAGUCAAAAUAUUAUUUAAGUUUUCUUGCAUGUAAUUGUACUAAUGAUGUAGUUAGCUGACCUUGGUAGGAGUUCUUUAGUAGCUGAUGGCAGGAUGAGAUGGGGGAUCCUAGGAGAGCCUCGAAAGUAUUUUAGUGGAAUUAGUGAGCUGUUUAGCAGGUAUUUGGAGUAUCAAUAUGACAAAGUGACUUAGAGGAUUCUGGAUAAUUCAUAAGGAAAGUAUGAAUAGGUGUGGAAGGUAGUAUUGGGCCCCUACUACUAAAAUUAUAUGAUCGAUACUUAAAUCCAGGAAAGUUACUGGGAUUUUAUGAAGCCUAGAGAAUGAGGAUUCGUUGGGUAUAUUUUGACCAUUUGUAGAGUUACAUUGCAGUAUGGUGAUGAGAAUUCAUGGAGGAGGUUCUGGUUCGGGUUCAGGUUAUAGCUCUAGUGCUAAGCCGAUUGAUGAGAGGAUUCACGAGUUUGUUUCGUUAGAGAUCAAUCGCAGUAUUUUCUAUGCGACUCCUAUAAUGUCUGGUACCAUCAAGGAAGCAAUCUGAAAGAUCUAAUAUACUCGAGAGUCAUAUUAGAAUGAUAUUGCUAAUUAACAUAUGAUCCUAAGAGUCAUACUAACAACAACUUGAUACAAUUGAUUAUCUAUUAGAAGUUGAUUUAAAUAAAUAUUCAUAAAAUCUUAUAACAAAUUAGAAAAAUAUUUAUUUCAUGGAAAUAAUUGGUUUACAAUUACAAGAAACACAUUAUUUCAUAUGGUAAGAAUUAACAUGUCAUGUACAACAUUUUGGUCUAGAUAAAUCAUUUUGUCAUUUACCAAAAAGUCUAACUUUAUAUCUUAUAAAAAGUUUAUAAAAUUGGAAAGUUUGUAUUCUUUUUUCUUGCCAAACCCAUGGGUUUUCUAAGGGACAUAAGUAAGGUCUUUUGAUUUGUUUAAUCAAAAGAUCAUCCUCUAAUAACGCAUACAUGGACAUGAUAACUAGCUAUGGACAUGAUGACAAAAAAGUGUUAUGAGCUCUUGGUUAAGGACCUUUCUUUAGGACCUUAAGAGAGGAUUUUGUUUUUGGUCAUUCUCGCAUGUAUUUGGACACAACUAUAAGCUCCAUAUCACUUGUCUAUUGCCUUUUGAAGAUAAGGAGUAUGGGUUUGUGACAUCCUGAAAUUUAUGGAUAAUAUUAUAGACGAUCAAUUCACCGCGAAUCUCAUUGUAACUUGACUUAUUGAGUUUUACUGCAUCUUAAGUAAAAUAAAUAAGUUCAUUUCAAUUAUUAUGAAAUAUCAGAUUAUAUCAUACUUCCAAAUAUAGAAACUAACAACCAAAUCAAACCACUCAAAGUUUGCAUUAAGCAUUUUUUGAGCAAAGCAAACAUUAACAUAUUUUAGUACAUGUUCCAUUGUAUCCGAAAAUAUAAAGGAUGUCUAAAAUGAAGUUCGUGUAAUGCCUGUGUUUCCAGGCUUGCCAUUUUUAGCAAUAUAAUAGUCUAGGUUAACCGUUGUAAACCGUUUUGAAUUAAUAAGGGUGUAUUAUUUGAGUAUUAUGUGUUUUGUGCUUAAUUGCUUAAUUAUGUGGUUUGAUUAAUUAAGAAUAAAAAUAAGCAUCAAAAUUUACGUGUAAAAUAAACUUGAUAUCUUUGGAUAAUGUUGUAGUAGUUGAAACGAGGUUUCCGAAUAUAUAUAAAACGCCCAAAUCUGACUUCGGAUGAGGAAGUUAUGAUUUAUCGAAGUUUUGGCUUAGCGGUAUGCAGCCUAAAAUACUCGAUUUAAGAUCGGGGGGUUUUUAGCCGAAGCAAGCUAAACGAGAAUCGAAGAUCUCGUUGUUGGUAUCGAAGCGAUGAAGAGUUAGGCGAGAACGGACGUCAAACGAAGAAGUUAUGAAUUUAUAACGAAGUUUUUGUGUCCCGGCCUAUUAAAAAUAAAUAAUAAAACUAAACUCAAAAUUAGCCGAUGGAGUCUAAACGAAAGUUGUAGAGAGUAGUCUCACCUAUGCGUGGAUAUAAAGAACGUCGAAUACGGAGUUAGUAUGAAGAAGAUAUGAAUUUUUCGAAGUUUAUUAAAGAAUUAAUAAUUAAAUUUAAUUAUUAAAUCCGGCAUUAUCCGAAGAGGAGUUAUCGAACUCAUCCGAAGUACGCCCAGCGUACUAGCGUACGCCCCGCGUACAGCGAAGCAUGACAAGCCUCGCACUCGAGUUCUUCGGAUACGUAAGCAAUGACGAUUCUGAGGCAGUACGCCCCACGUACUCCGAGGCUCCAGCCUCCUAUAAAUAGGAUGCGAGGGCAGCUAACUCUUUUGCUCUUUUUCUCUCUUCUCUCUCCCGUUUUACCUCGAUUUGCAUGCCAAAAAUACCCCUAAUCCCCGGUAUCAUUCUCGAGCCCCGAAGCAAGUCCCGAGAUCCCGAAGAUCUCGAGAAGUGCGAUUCACGAGCCGAAGCUCUGCCCACGAGAAGUUCGAUUUUUGUAGAGAUCUUCCAGAUCUGCUGAGGCUUACUACUUCUGCAAGUCGUAGUGCUGUCCGAUCAUCUUCUGAUCAAGUGAGUGUAUACUAGCUUUCAUAAACACGAUAAUAAUACAAGUAUGGUUUGAGUGUAUUAAGUAUAUUGUUGUUUAUAGGUGUCAGUGUGUAGUUACUUUCUUCUAACGCAUAAUUAUGAAGUAUUUUAUAUGAAAUACGUGUUAUGUGUAUAGUUUUGUUGUUAUGUGCGUGAAGGUAUAUUCACUCUCUUCAAAUCUCAUAGAUCUGAUUUGUUUUCUAUGAAAUACGUGUUAUGUGGUUGUGCCUAAUCUGUUAUGUGGAAUAUAUAUUGAAUGAAAAUGCUAUACAGGUUUUAAACUAUGUAUGAAAAUACAUAUUUUUAUCUACUAAUAUGUUGGGUAGAACACGGGUAGAUAGUUGGUGUGUAAUUAACAGAUGAGAGGCCUCGAUGUUGUUGUUGUUGAUCUAGUUAUUCAGCGGAGUAUGGAUAACAACCACAGACUCUUUCUAGACAGUCCUGUGGAACGCUAGCAGGUUCAUAACCUAUAGGUGUUAUGAACGAUGUGUUCACCGGUGUACUCUAUCCCCCUCAUGGUUGCCUUUAGGAUAUCUAUUGUUGAGGAAACCCCUUCGCAGUGAUGUCCGUCCCGAUGAAAAUCCUAGAUUAGGUCCCUUGAGAUAGUUGUUUUAGGGACGUAAAGUGAGGAUAACGGGAAUGGGUAAUCGGGAUAGUGAUUGGUUGGUGAAAUUAAAUAUAACUUAUUUAUUGUGGGUUGAAAACCCUAUAUGCUCACCAGGCUCCCAAGCCUGACCCACUCAGUUUUAUUUGUAUUACAGGAAGUGGCACAAGGGCGUAAGAUGGAUGGAUCAUCUUGUUGUUUUGUUUACAAGUCUGUAUAUGUAUAUAUUUGUUGAAUGACUUGUAAUGUUUAUCGUUUAUGCUUUAUGGUCUGUAUCGGAACAUGACAUCCCGAGUUUUGAUUAUAUAAUGAAAUGCAUCUCUUGAUGAAAUGCUUUGAUAAAUAUUAUUUUAUCAUGUUUUUUUUUGGGAACAAAUUCCGCAACUCUUUCAAAUCAAAAGGAUUUACUCUGAAAAUAUUUAAAAGCAUAAAUGAAAAUCGGUCUUUUCUGGCCGAGAUUUUGGGGAUGUCACAGUUGGUAUCAGAGCAUUAGUUUAAGCGAACUAGGAAUUUGUAGGAUUUCUAGACUUAAACUUAGAAUGCUAAGUGGAAUUUUGAGAUGUGUGUCUGUUGGAUUUUAGACACGAGCACUAGUUUAUUUUAGGAAAGUUGCCUAAAAUGCUUUUAUGUGCUAAAUGUUAUAUGUUGCCAUAUAUGAUAUUAUUUGUUCGGAUCUACGGUCUGUUGCCGACCGGAUCUGGAAACCUUAUGUGUGUAGGAUUCUAAGCGUAUGUCUACGUUAUUAGAACUAGCAUGUAAACGUUUCGGAGUAAUAAGGAUGAUUUGAAUAUCUAUCGUGAAUGAGGAUCUAAUUUCACCUUAUUCGGUGUGUAGAUCAAAAAUGGUGAGAACAAGGAGUGGCGUUGGAAACGCGGAUGAAAACAGGAAUCAACCGCCAGUGAUUGAGCAAAUACCUGUUGUAGCAGCAGCACCAGAACCAAUAACAAUGGCUGCGGUGCAAGCCAUGAUUCGGGCUAUGCUAGCCGAACAAAGGGAGGAGAUGCGACAAAUGUUGCAUAAUAAUAGGGAUGAACCUAUCAUACCUAUUGAGGAACCGGAAUUGAUUCCCGAGCAAUCGGAGGAAGGGAACAAUAGUCGCAUGGUGAGUCAAGUUGGGACUCAAGAGGAACGAAGGAACGAUCCAGAAAGGAGAAACAACAAGGAUGGGCGUAUGUACAAGAACUUCUUGGGCGCCAAACCGCCAAGUCUUUCUGGGAGCCCAAAGCCUGUUGAGAUAAUGGAUUGGAUCUCCGAAAUGGAGAUGGUAUUUGAAAGUUGCGACUGUAGCAACAAACAGAAGACCGUCUUUGCAGUUAGACAACUGAAGACUGGAGUCUUGAGUUGGUGGAAGUUGUUGGCAGAUACUAUGCCACGAGGAGAAGCCCUGAAAAUGUCAUGGGAGGAGUUCUUGGAACAACUAAGGGUGCAGUAUUGUUCAGAGAUAGAUCUGAUUGAUCUGAACAAUGAGUUCCAAAACUUGAAGAAGGGGAGGAUGAGCAUAGAUGACUAUGCUACUGCAUUCACUGAGAAAAUGAAGUUAUUUCCGUACCUAGUGCCAACGGAACUCUCCAAGAUUGAGAGGUUUGCUAAUGGACUGCCUGCCGACUUUGGUCCGACAGUCAAGAUGGCAACCACUCUGAAAACGGUUGUUCGUGCAGCUAAGAAUGUGGAGGCCCAGCAGAAGGAAAAGGGUCUGGAAAGGAUAGAAGUUGGUGAAAAGAGGAACUUCGAUGGAACUUCAGGGUCCAAUAAGAAAAACAAGUUCUCGAAAUCUAGUUCGAGGGGAGGUGGAGGCGAAGCGAAAUGGUGCGACAAAUGUAAGAAGAAGCAUCAUGGAAAAUGUGAGGUAGCGGCCACAUGCUACAAAUGUGGAAAGCCAGGGCACUAUGCAAAUGAAUGCACCCUCUCUAAGAAGGUUUGCUAUGGUUGUGGUGAGGAGGGACACAUGUCGAGGGACUGCCCAAAGAAGAAGGAGGCAGCUAGACCCAACAUUCCACCAAAGCCAAAGGCGAGAGCAUUCCAGAUGACACUGGAAGCUGCUAAAGAUGAAGCUGAUGUCGCUUUAGGUACCUUUCUCGUAAACACAUUGCCUGCCCAAAUUUUAUUUGAUUUGGGAGCCAACUACUCCUUUAUAUCGCAUGAAUUUGGUAGAAAACUAUCUUUGCCUGUUGUUAGACUAGAUAAUGCUUUAUUAGUCGAAGUUGCUAGUGGCAAGUUUGUACCUGUUAGCCAUCGUAUGAAAAACAUCUUAAUUGACUUGAAUGGGAAUAAGUUCCACGAGGAAUUAUUGCCUAUCGAACAUAAUGGUUUCGACAUCGUAUUGGGAAUGGAUUGGCUUAGCGCCAAUGAUGCCAAAAUUUUAUGCAAGAAGAAGUUGGUUAAAGUAAACCCGCCUGGGAAAGAUUCGUUUAUGGUGUAUAGGGACAAAAGCAGAGUGAAUUCUGGAAUCAUUUCCCUAAUGAAAGCCAGAAAGUGUUUGACCAAGGGAUGUACAUCAUAUUUAGCAUUCGUGAAUGAUGCUCAGUAGGAAAAGAAGGUGAUGCAGAGUAUUCUAGUGGUGUGUGAUUAUCCGGAAGUAUUUCCCGAAGAUCUUCCCGGAUUACCGCCUGAUCGAUAAGUGGAAUUUUGUAUUGACUUGUUGCCAGGAACAACGCCAAUUGCAAAAGCACCUUAUCGAUUAGCACCGACGGAGAUGAAGGAGUUGAUGAUGCAACUUCAAGAGUAAUUGGACAAAGGUUUCAUUAGACCUAGUUCAUUGCCCUGGGGAGCUCCGGUGUUAUUCGUGAAGAAGAAAGAUGGAAGUAUGAGAAUGUGCAUUGACUACAGAGAGCUGAAUAAGGCAACAAUAAAGAAUAGAUAUCCGUUGCCAAGGAUUGAUGACCUGUUUGAUCAAUUGCAAGGUUCGACCUAUUUCUCGAAGAUCGAUCUAAGGUCAGGAUAUCAUCAGCUAAAAGUAAGAGAGCAAGAUAUCGAGAAAACUGCAUUCAGAACUAGAUAUGGACACUACGAGUUCUUGGUUAUGUCGUUUGGACUAACCAAUGCUCUAGCAACAUUCAUGGAUUUAAUGAAUAGGGUUUGUAAUCCUUUCCUUGAUAAAUCUGUGAUAGUGUUCAUAGACGACAUUCUGAUUUACUCGAAAAGCCAGGAGGAGCAUGGCAGACACUUGCGAGAAGUGUUGGAAGUUUUGAAGAAGGAGAAGUUGUAUGCACAGUUCUCCAAAUGUGAUUUU